Molecule: ribosomal RNA, 496 nt
Filed under: uncultured Glomeromycotina
Lineage: Eukaryota; Fungi; Glomeromycota
Description: partial small subunit ribosomal RNA
Rfam family: Eukaryotic small subunit ribosomal RNA
Source: RNAcentral
CCAAUAGCGUAUAUUAAAGUUGUUGCAGUUAAAAAGCUCGUAGUUGAACUUCAGGCCUGGCUGGGCGGUCCGCCUUCCGGGCGAGUACUGCCUGUGGUCGGGUCCUACCUUCUGGCGAAGCGUCAUGGCCUUAACCGGCCGUGGCGGGGAACCAGGACUUUUACUGUGAAAAAAUUAGAGUGUUCAAAGCAGGCACGCGCUUGAAUACAUUAGCAUGGAAUAAUGGAAUAGGACAGUGGUUCUAUUUGUUGGUUUCUAGGACCGUUGUAAUGAUUAAUAGGGAUAGUUGGGGGCAUUAGUAUUCAAUUGUCAGAGGUGAAAUUCUUGGAUUUAUUGAAGACUAACUACUGCGAAAGCAUUUGCCAAGGAUGUUUUCAUUAAUCAAGAACGAAAGUUAGGGGAUCGAAGACGAUCAGAUACCGUCGUAGUCUUAACCAUAAACUAUGCCGACUAGGAAUCGGGCGAUGUUGACAAAAUGACGCGCUCGGCACCUCAU